UACGUAGGGGGCAAGCGUUGUCCGGAUUUAUUGGGCGUAAAGAGCGUGUAGGCGGUCAGGUAGGUCCGUUGUGAAAACUCGAGGCUCAACCUCGAGACGCCGAUGGAAACCAUCUGACUAGAGUCCGGAAGAGGAGAGUGGAAUUCCUGGUGUAGCGGUGAAAUGCGCAGAUAUCAGGAGGAACACCGGUGGCGAAGGCGGGUCUCUGGGCAGUAACUGACGCUGAGGAGCGAAAGCGUGGGGAGCGAACAGG
Molecule: ribosomal RNA, 253 nt
Filed under: uncultured bacterium
Lineage: Bacteria
Description: partial 16S ribosomal RNA
Rfam family: Bacterial small subunit ribosomal RNA
Source: RNAcentral